RNAcentral lists this ribosomal RNA (1664 nucleotides) under metagenome. Its description in RNAcentral is "bacterial LSU rRNA". It matches the Rfam family "Bacterial large subunit ribosomal RNA", at positions 1215 to 2910 of the family's 2925-position model. The record is from RNAcentral.
UUGUUGUAAAGUGGUAGGGGAGCAUUCCAACAGGGUAGAAGGUGUGUUGUAAAGCAUGCUGGACUGGUUAGAAAAGAAAAUGUAGGCAUAAGUAACGAUAAUGCGGGCGAGAAACCCGCACACCGAAAGACUAAGGUUUCCACAGCUAUGCUAAUCAGCUGUGGGUUAGUCGGGACCUAAGGCGAACCCGAAAGGGACAGUCGAUGGACAACGGGUUAAUAUUCCCGUACUACUAAUUACUGUGAUGGGGUGACGGAGUGAUGAAAGCGCCGCGAACUGACGGAAUAGUUCGUUGAAGUACCUACCUAUAAGCUGCGCAGGCAAAUCCACGCGGCUUGGGGAAAUACGAUAGUACUCGGAGUCUUCGGACAAAGAGAUAGUGCGCCUAAGGGCUUCCAAGAAAAACCUCUAAACUUCAGGUAAUUAGUACCCGUACCGCAAACCGACACAGGUAGUCGAGGAGAGAAUCCUAAGGUGCUCGAGAGAUUCAUGGCUAAGGAAUUAGGCAAAAUAGACCCGUAACUUCGGGAGAAGGGUCGCCAGCAGCAAUGCUGGCCGCAGUGAAGAGGUCCAGGCGACUGUUUAUCAAAAACACAGGGCUCUGCAAAAUCGUAAGAUGAAGUAUAGGGCCUGACACCUGCCCGGUGCUGGAAGGUUAAGAGGAGAUGUUAUCUUCGGAGAAGCAUUGAAUUGAAGCCCCAGUAAACGGCGGCCGUAACAAUAACGGUCCUAAGGUAGCGAAAUUCCUUGUCGGGUAAGUUCCGACCUGCACGAAUGGUGUAACGAUCUGGACACUGUCUCAGCCAUGAGCUCGGUGAAAUUGUAGUAACGGUGAAGAUGCCGUUUACCCGCAGUGGGACGAAAAGACCCUGUGCACCCUUACUAUAGCUUAGUAUUGACUUUGGAUAAAUGAUGUGUAGGAUAGGUUGGAGACUAUGAAGUGGCGUCGCCAGGCGUUGUGGAGUCAUUGUUGAAAUACAACCCUUUGUUUAUCUGAAGCCUAACCCCGUUUUGCGGGGGACAUUGCUUGGUGGGUAGUUUGACUGGGGUGGUCGCCUCCAAAAGAGUAACGGAGGCUUCUAAAGGUUCCCUCAGUACGCUUGGUAACCGUGCGUAGAGUGCAAUGGCAUAAGGGAGCUUGACUGAGAGACAUACAGGUCGAUCAGGUACGAAAGUAGAGCAUAGUGAUCCGGUGGUUCCGCAUGGAAGGGCCAUCGCUCAAAGGAUAAAAGGUACGCCGGGGAUAACAGGCUGAUCUCCCCCAAGAGCUCAUAUCGACGGGGGGGUUUGGCACCUCGAUGUCGGCUCGUCACAUCCUGGGGCUGGAGAAGGUCCCAAGGGUUGGGCUGUUCGCCCAUUAAAGUGGCACGCGAGCUGGGUUCAGAACGUCGUGAGACAGUUCGGUCUCUAUCUACUGUGGGCGCAAGAAAUUUGAGUGGAUCUGAUUCUAGUACGAGAGGACCGAAUUGGACUAACCUCUAGUGUAUCUGUUGUUCCGCCAGGAGCAUCGCAGAGUAGCUACGUUGGGGGAUAAGCGCUGAAAGCAUAUAAGCGCGAAACCCACCACAAGAUGAGAUUUCUUUUAAGGAUCGUGGGAGAUGACCACGUUGAUAGGCUAUAGAUGUAAAGGCAGUAAUGUCAUAGUCGAGUAGUACUAAUAAUCC